RNAcentral lists this ribosomal RNA (433 nucleotides) under uncultured bacterium. RNAcentral describes it as "partial 16S ribosomal RNA". It matches the Rfam family "Bacterial small subunit ribosomal RNA", at positions 29 to 507 of the family's 1533-position model. The record is from RNAcentral.
AACGAACGCUGGCGGCAUGCCUAACACAUGCAAGUCGAACGAGACCUUCGGGUCUAGUGGCGCACGGGUGCGUAACGCGUGGGAACCUUCCCUUAUGUUCGGAAUAACUCUCCGAAAGGGGUGCUAAUACCGGAUAAUAUCUUCUGACCAAAGAUUUAUCGCCUUUGGAUGGGCCCGCGUUGGAUUAGCUAUUUGGUAGGGUAAAAGCCUACCAAGGCGACGAUCCAUAGCUGGUCUGAGAGGAUGAUCAGCCACACUGGGACUGAGACACGGCCCAGACUCCUACGGGAGGCAGCAGUGGGGAAUAUUGGACCAUGGGCGAAAGCAUGAUCCAGCUAUGCCGCGUGAGUGCUGAAGGCCUUAGGGUUGUAAAGCUCUUUUAACCGGGAUGAUAAUGACAGUACCGGGAGAAUAAGCUCCGGCUAACUCCGUG